RNAcentral lists this small RNA (258 nucleotides) under Chinchilla lanigera (long-tailed chinchilla). RNAcentral's name for it is "7SK RNA (ENSCLAG00000021762.1)". It matches the Rfam family "7SK RNA", at positions 1 to 253 of the family's 331-position model. Rfam says of the family: 7SK was discovered as an abundant small nuclear RNA in the mid-70s but a possible function has only recently been suggested. Two independent studies have found that 7SK RNA binds the CDK9/cyclin T complex (known as elongation factor P-TEFb). Lineage: Eukaryota; Metazoa; Chordata; Mammalia; Rodentia; Chinchillidae. The record is from RNAcentral.
GGAUAUAAGAGUGAUCUGGCUGUUAUGUCUGUCACCCUAUUGAUUUCCAGGGUUGAUUUGGCUGAUUUGACUGUCUGGGCAUGUGUCCCUCCACUCCAUGUGUGUCCCUCCCAAAGCUGCAUGCACAGUCAGUGAGGACAACCAUCUCUGAUAGAGGAGGACUGUUCCCUUGCUCAAGGGUUUAUGAGUUGCUGAACUCCCCUGAUAGAACCUCCCAACAAGCUCUCAAAGUUUUUUUUCAACUCUGAUAUUUAUUUG